GCUUAACACAUGCAAGUCGAACGGAGUUUACUGUGAUGAUUUCUUCGGAAUUGAUAAUGGUAAACUUAGUGGCGACGGGUGAGUAACGCGUGGGUAACCUGCCUCACACUGGGGGACAACAGUUGGAAACGACUGCUAAUACCGCAUUAAGCGCACAGCUUCGCAUGAAGCAGUGUGAAAAACUCCGGUGGUGUGAGAUGGACCCGCGUCUGAUUAGAUAGUUGGUGAGGUAACGGCCCACCAAGUCAACGAUCAGUAGCCGAACUGAGAGGUUGAUCGGCCACAUUGGGACUGAGACACGGCCCAAACUCCUACGGGAGGCAGCAGUAGGGAAUCUUCCACAAUGGACGAAAGUCUGAUGGAGCAACGCCGCGUGAAUGAAGAAGGCCUUCGGGUCGUAAAAUUCUGUUGUCAGAGAAGAACGUGCGUGAGAGUAACUGUUCACGUAUUGACGGUAUCUGACCAGAAAGCCACGGCUAACUACGUG
RNAcentral lists this ribosomal RNA (487 nucleotides) under uncultured bacterium. RNAcentral's name for it is "bacterial SSU rRNA". It matches the Rfam family "Bacterial small subunit ribosomal RNA", at positions 46 to 507 of the family's 1533-position model. The record is from RNAcentral.